GGUUAAGCGACUAAGCGUACACGGUGGAUGCCCUGGCAGUCAGAGGCGAUGAAGGACGUGCUAAUCUGCGAUAAGCGUCGGUAAGGUGAUAUGAACCGUUAUAACCGGCGAUUUCCGAAUGGGGAAACCCAGUGUGUUUCGACACACUAUCAUUAACUGAAUCCAUAGGUUAAUGAGGCGAACCGGGGGAACUGAAACAUCUAAGUACCCCGAGGAAAAGAAAUCAACCGAGAUUCCCCCAGUAGCGGCGAGCGAACGGGGAGGAGCCCAGAGCCUGAAUCAGUGUGUGUGUUAGUGGAAGCGUCUGGAAAGGCGCGCGAUACAGGGUGACAGCCCCGUACACAAAAAUGCACAUGCUGUGAGCUCGAUGAGUAGGGCGGGACACGUGGUAUCCUGUCUGAAUAUGGGGGGACCAUCCUCCAAGGCUAAAUACUCCUGACUGACCGAUAGUGAACCAGUACCGUGAGGGAAAGGCGAAAAGAACCCCGGCGAGGGGAGUGAAAAAGAACCUGAAACCGUGUACGUACAAGCAGUGGGAGCACGCUUAGGCGUGUGACUGCGUACCUUUUGUAUAAUGGGUCAGCGACUUAUAUUCUGUAGCAAGGUUAACCGAAUAGGGGAGCCGAAGGGAAA
RNAcentral lists this ribosomal RNA (633 nucleotides) under Escherichia coli. Its description in RNAcentral is "partial 23S ribosomal RNA". It matches the Rfam family "Bacterial large subunit ribosomal RNA", at positions 1 to 676 of the family's 2925-position model. Lineage: Bacteria; Pseudomonadati; Pseudomonadota; Gammaproteobacteria; Enterobacterales; Enterobacteriaceae. The record is from RNAcentral.